GGGAGUGUGGCGGAAUGGCAGACGCAGCGGACUUAAAAUCCGCCGCCGGAAGGCGUGAGGGUUCGAAUCCCUCCACUCCUACCA
RNAcentral lists this transfer RNA (84 nucleotides) under Eggerthellaceae bacterium. RNAcentral's name for it is "tRNA-Leu". It matches the Rfam family "tRNA". Rfam says of the family: Transfer RNA (tRNA) molecules are approximately 80 nucleotides in length. The record is from RNAcentral. Lineage: Bacteria; Bacillati; Actinomycetota; Coriobacteriia; Eggerthellales; Eggerthellaceae.